This is a non-coding RNA of Phasianus colchicus (ring-necked pheasant), 7761 nucleotides long. Lineage: Eukaryota; Metazoa; Chordata; Aves; Galliformes; Phasianidae. The record is from RefSeq and is a predicted model, not a curated record.
GUCUCCGCCCGCCUCGAGGCGCCGGCAGCGGGCGGCCAGCGGGGCUCCGCGCGACUUCGGCGGAGGACGGGCGCGUGAAGACACGCAGGGCACUAUGUCACUGGCAUCCUGGUUCAGGUGGAAUGAGCCCCCAAAUCGGAUUUCCCAGAGGAACCCCACAGAGAUGGUGGUUGAGACGCUAAUGAUGGAGCUGAGCUGGCAGAUCAAGCAGGCAGAGAAGCAGCAGCGGGAACGGGAGAAUGAAUAUCGCAAGAUCAAGACUGGGGUGGACUACGGCUGGCUGGUCAGCUACCCAAAGCAGAGCUAUGAUAUCAGCCCAGGAGAAAGGCUGCAGCUGGAGGAUAUGUGUACCAAAAUACAUCCAUCCUACUGUGGGCCUGUCAUACUCAGAUUCCGGCAACUCAUUGCUGAAUAUGAACCAGAAGUGCAGGAAGUAUCUCGACUCUUCCGCUCUGUUCUGCAGGAAGCUGUUGAGAAGAUCAAAGAGGAGGAAGACGCCAAGAAGCUCGCCAAGCAAUGGAACACAAAGAACAAAACCAGCCUCUCCUUAACAACGUUUAAGUCCCGGUCCAAGAUUUCCCCAUUCAUCAGUGACAUCAAGACCAUCUCUGAGGAUGUAGAGAGGGGCACCCAGCCCACCAGGAGGGUUUGGAGCAUGCCAGAAUUCCGGAAUGCCAAGGAUUACUGACUCUGUACUGAACAAGGCAGAACCCCUGAACCUUGUGCCUGCAGAGCAGAUAGAAAUGUAACACUGUUGUGGGUGGAUACAUCAGUUCUGUGUCAAAAGCUCUUCUUGGUCCUGUGUUCUGUGUUACUGAGUCAGCAGAGGGAGACAAAUCUGACCUUUGGUCAAAGCCAUAUACAUAUGAGGGCCAGGCUGUGAUGGCUCCUGUGACAGCUGUCAAGCUUCAGUUUACCUGCCACCUCUAAUUCCACAAUAAAAUGUAAUCCAGACUUUCAAAUAGUACCACUUUCUCCCUGUACCUCUUCUGCAAGUUACACUGGGCUCACAGAACCAUCUCAUGCUGAAAGGAUAUUCAGGUACCAAUCUGGCCAUCUAGUACUCUGAAAGGUACAAAACAAGCACUAUGCUUGCCUGCAGCCAGCUACUUGGAGACUGACUGCAACUUUUUGCACAGCGUAUGCACCAACAGAUACUGACACAGAGCUGGAGAGGUGCUUGGGAUAUUCAGUUGUUGCACUGUGCUUUUAACACUUGUUUUUCUUAUGAACUGUAGACUGAACGAAAUCAUUCUUUGGUCACUGCAUGCAGCAGCAAGUAACUACUCAUUUUUGCCUAAUCCUAAUUUCAUGUUUUGAGUGACUGAAUUAGAAUUUCAGAUUAAAUCAGGAGUGUGCAACUCCUGCUUGUCCCCCUACCUACUGAGCUAUGGUCCACAUACCUGAGCAGACACAGUGGGCAAACUGGAUUGCUUUUGGAUUAAGCUAACCUAAAUGAUCUGUUGCAGCUGACUCUCAGGUUUGCGUACCAUGAAACAGGACUAAGAAAACCUCCUAGCACUUGUAUAGUGUGAACAUUAAAUCCUUACUGACAACUGUACUGCUCUACAGCUCUGCUUCUCCUGGACUGCACUGCCUACUAGUGUAUAAAAGCAUUUCUACACAACUUAGAUGAGACUGUUCUGUUCUUACCUACUUUAGAGACUAGAGUCCGGUGAUUUAAUUCCUAAAGAAAAAUGAGAAGUGAAAUAGCAGCACAAUGCCAGUAACAAAUAACUCAGUAAACUCAACAAGAAUAAUUCAAAAUCCUCAUUCUUUCCAAAUUGAACAAAGACUUGGUGUCAGCCUAGAGCAUCACUGUUGCCCCAUCAGUGGUAGUGUUAUGCUGUCCAAAGGACAUUGUUACACCCAGGAAAAAGCAAUCAGAGACUUUUAUUGCACAUGCUAACACAUAAUGGCAACACUACUAGAGCAGCUCAGGUGCAUGGCUCGGCUUCAAGGGGCUGAAACACUUUUCAGAGUCACUACUCAUGUAAGAAAGAAAAUGCAGCUCUGCUCUUACAGCCUAGUAUGGCCCACAGGCUGUGGUGGCCUGCAAAGAUGUGCAGGAGGAGACUCUUCAGCUCUAUCAGCAUAUGGCUCAGACAGCUGUCACACCUUGGGGAACUGGAGUAUGCUUCACAGGAAAUACCUGUCUACUGAGAUUGCACUGUUUAUGUAUUUCAUCAUGGAACCGCAGAGAAUUAAAGCAAAGCUAAGAAAUAUAAAACAAAUUCUUGUAAUUGUUGUCGUUAAUUAAACAAGCAAUCUGUCCACAUCUAGCCAAACACAAGAGCCGUUCUAGUUCUCUACUGCACGCUGUGCAUGCAAAGGAGGAAGGCAAGAAUGGUAGAAACCAAGGCUAAACAAAAAAACAUCCUCUCUACAAGGUGCAAAUGCAGCCACUUGCUUUCUGCUUGCUACCUCUUCAAAUAGAUCCCACGAUGUAAGGUGAUAAAUAGCUAGGAUUAAACAACUGCAGAAGUCUGAAGUUCUCUGAAGCAAAGUGGUUUACAGAUACAACCUUGACUUUAAACCUUCCUCGCUGUGCUUCCAAGCACGUCUUACAAUGAUCAGUAUUACCACAAAAUGAGAAAAACAACAAAAUGAAUGUUUUGUGAGUCAAGCCACUCCUAUCAAUUCUAGAUACUGGAACCCUUUAAUAUUAGUAUACAGCCCCAGAUGGCUCAGGGCUCCCUGCACUAAGCAUUCACAUGAAAAGCAUGCAAGAGUUAAACAAGAGGAAGCUUUUUUUUUUUCCCCAACACAAAGUCUCAUUGAAGUGUACACUGCAUUGCUCAGAGAUCAAACAGAUGAGUGUUUCCAAAAGGGAGCUCCAGGAAUAAACUGAAGUAAGUGGUUAAGAUACAGACUACAGCAGAAGGCUUAAACCAUUCCUUCCUAGAAGCUGUGGAAAGAAACAUACUAGGGGACAAGCAAUAUCUCUGUCUUGUUGCUCACGCUCCUUCCCCAGAACACUUCUACAGGCUGCGCCCAAAACUGGGGAUGGUUGGGCCCUGCCUGGAAGACCAUUCCAGUAUUCCUAUGUAAACUUCACCACUCAGACAGAGGAGGAUAAGCUACACAGUGCAUGCUAGUUUGGCAAAAAAUCAUUCUGGGAAGCACAGGACUGUAUGAGUCAGCAUCUUUUUUUGUUGUGCCCUCCAAAAGAGAAAUGGCUCUGAAGCUUCAGUGAGAUCCACCCACCUGUGCCAGGCACAGACAUAGCAGUCUGGGAGCUUGCCUCUUGCUGGUACUGCUGUCCUCUGCACAAGGGGCCUCUUGUUCCCUCUAUGUGAUCAAGCAAGCUGUGUUUCAAGCCAGCUCACAUUAGGAAGACACAGUACUGACCCCAAGAGGUGGGCUGCGGGGCCAAGUCUCCCACAACUGGCGUGUGUUUUCUGUGCAGUUGUGUAAAGACACUCUCAAACUGAAUCUCUGCAGGAAGAGAUCUUAAUAAACAUGACAGGCAAAGAGAAAAGCUACAAGAAGAACAGUGAAAUAUGUGGUGUUUCAUGAACAUCUGUGUACAACAUACUUCAUAAAAUUCCUGGAGUCCUGACUGGAUAAGCAGAUUACAGCUUGUCAGCUGCUAUGGUCACAAUUGCACAUUGCUUCUACCAAAUGUAUCUAACCUCCCCCAUUGGAUGAUAUGGCAGGAGUGUGGGGAAAGAGAAAUGCAUUUUCUAAAUCCCAGUAUCCACUCUCAGAAUGUAAUUAUUGUUAUUCCCAUUUAGUGAUUAUAAUGCUAUAUUCUCAGAGACUUCUGAUGAGUCAGGGUCCAUGUAUGGUACCUCUUCCAGCCUUAUUAUCAGCAGUAUCAGAUUGCCUAAAGACCGCGUGUAGUUUAGUCUGAAGACAGGUUAAAUAAGAGAUGUAGAACAAAACAGUGCCAGAGAAAUACCCCUCUUUCCUUUUGGUGUUAUUCUGACACUGGAAGCAUAAAAUUAUUUAGCAGGUGGAAGAGUACAGUGUUGUAUCUGAAGAACUCGGCAGUUCCUGUAAGGAUGGUGCAAGAGCACCCAGUCCUUCCAGGUCCCUCUUGGAUCUCAGCAACUCAUUCCCAUUGCAUAUAGCUACUCAGAAGUUCCAACCUUUCUUCUGCCAGAACAGACUGUGGUCUGUUCAAAGCCCAGCGAGGAGGAGGAAAGGGAGAAAGACUGGAUUACAUUCAUAGGACAGCAGUAACAAACAUGCACCAUAAGCAACACAUCUUUGCAGGCUAAUUAGAGGGUUUCAGAAUUAUUGUGAAGCCAAAGUCCAAAAGGAGAAAAACAAAAAAAAAACCCUGUAUGAGGCAGUGCAGAUGGACAGCAAUGCCACCUGCUGGCACGUUCUAAGCAGUGAGUAACAGGAAACCCUGCCUUUCCCAACAAAUACCUCUUUCUCACUCUUAUGCUACCUUUCUUUCAAAUUUCACUGUCAUGCAGAGAACAGCACUUGAACAAAACGCAAACCACAUACAACUAUGUUAACACCUGAAUGGAAAAUAGCACCAGCAGUUGGCAUGCUGGUACCAGUUGUCUUCUUAAUGCUCUCUACCUCUGCCACCAAUGUACAUUUACCAGGAUGGAUAUUAGCAGUUUGUCACAUUGCUUACAAAGUCUCAAAGCAUGCUUCCUUAGAGCCACCAACAUUGCAUCCUGCUCUCCCUGCAGAAAACACUAGGUGCUUCCUAUUCCUCAUGAAUCACACUUUAAGGCCAAAAAUGAGCAGGCAGAAAAAGAUUACUGCUCUCAAGAGCCAAAUAAAUCAUGGUCUCUGCACUGGACAAUAAUUUUGGUGAGUUGUUUUGUCCAGAGAUGAUGGAAGACUGGGCUGCGUGUCUGCUGAUAAUCCUAAACAGCAGCUCUUAGAAGGGCUCACCCCCUACAGCUUCAAAUGUAAUCAAGUAACUGGCCUUGGGGAUGUCCUGGUGUGCCCAGAACCUCAAAGCCCUCAGAAGAACCCACUGCCACAAAAAACCAGCCAUUUCACAGAGUGCCCGAAAGAGAGCUGGACUCGAGAGCUGAGCAACAGUUUUGGAAACCUGUUCCUAAAAGAUCACAGCAAAGCCCUGCAGGACUGACACGUACAGCAAGCUGUUUCAGAGCUCCACCCAGUGGCCACCAGGUGGCUCAGCCAGCCCUCGACUGACCCUAGGUCAAGUUACUUCAGCCUCUCUGACUUUUGGCUUUUGCCUGCGUGUACACCUCUGUCCUAGCUGCAGAGGGAGACGUUCUGAGAUGUCUGGGAAGCCCAUAUAAUCCUGCAGCACAAAACAUUCAAGUACAUCAAAAUGACACAACUUGCUUAAGUUGAACCAUACUCAGCACUGAAGAGAUCAAAACUGCAUGCUCUUCCCAGCACAGCAGGUUGAUAUAUCCUAGUUUAACACAGCAAGCGCUUCCAAGCCUAACUGGUAUUUCUGACUGAUCUGUCAUUUUAAUCUCAGUACUUCUUUGCACAAAGGAGUCAAGUUCAGGCAAAUCAUAAAAGCGAGUGACAAAGGACUGCACUGCUUAUGAGAACUGGCUGAAUCACUUAAUUACUUGUAUCAAGUAAUUAUUUUUUCAUGUUUGGAUUCCCUGAGAAACUUAAGAAACUGCUCUAUCCCCUCUCAAAACCUUUUGAGUCUACUACCAACUGUACUUAUUGUGGAGGGAUCUUUAGAAAUGUCAGGUUCCUUUCCUGUUUGCUCACAUUGGCUCACUAGAUCUAGAAGUUCCAUAUGAGCACCCCUUCACUGAACAGAUAAAAGCCUCACAGUAUUAUAUACUUGCGCACACACAUGCUAGUAGUAUUGGUGAGGUGGAAAGGGCUUGAAGAGCAAGGGGAAGAAGACCCAAGGGACAAAGUAUUACCAAUUCUGCUGCUAGUGGCACAAUUGGUGAGAAUACUUGAAAAAACAGGAUUCCGACAAGGAGGAAGGGCAUGGCAGCAGCAGUUCAGAGAGUGCAUCUUCUACCAGUCUGCCCCAACAGUGACUUCUAUUUCAGAAUUUCAGACAAAGGAUGUGAUAGGGAGCACUCACACACACACAUGCAAAAUGUAUGCUUCAUAUCUGAAAGACUCCUAUUAUUUAACCUUUUAGCUAGAAUCUCCACUUGUCCAGCCAGAUAAGCCCCAGAAUCCCCUCCCUUGUCACUUUACCUCUGCCUGCACUUCAUGACUUCUGACACCAGCAGCCUCCCUCCAUCCCUAUCUCAUGCAUUUCCAUUAUUCCAGACUUCAUUUUUCCCUACAAUAAGCACUUUUUGGAGACCUGGUAGCAAGGCUAUCAGGCUGACAUCCCAUGCUGCUACAGAGUGUCCACGCAAAUUUCUAGAUCUGCAUCUGUUACCUUACUAUCAUAACCUUCACAUGCAGUUUUGUCUCUGGUUAUGCUGGCACAACAGAAAUUUGAAGCACCAUUAAGUAGUUAUGCUUUAGUUAAAAGGUCAAUAAAAAUAAAAUUCUUCCUGGGGCUGCAUGGCACUACAAUGAUUCUGCUUGCAGAGGCCUAUACCUACUGGUGCAACUGGAAUCUGCCUCAAAAACAUCGGUUCCACCAAGCUGCAUGCAGAGCAGAUGCACAUGAUUAUACCGACUCUUAAAUAUAUUUAAUAAAUAAUACAAUGUAUGGAAUGACAAAGAUGUUGUAUACUUUAUCAGUGUGUUUGGAAUUAACCUCCCCAAGAGAAGUCAGAAGAUAAAAGUUGCUUAUCUGGGCAUGACACGUGGCAUCUCUAGAUAGAAAUAUAGAUAGUAGUAGUAUGAAUCAUGAAGUACAAUCCCCAUGAAGCAAAGGAGCUGAAUUCUUUUGUUUUUCCUACUGUUUCAGAACACUGCUUCGAAAAAUACUUCCACAAGGUUAAAAGUCAAGAAAACUCCAUUUUUUACCCCUGUUUUUUCAUGUUUUAUGUUCAGAAGAAUAAAACAACCCAACUUUUCUGAAUUGAGGAUUCAAUGUCUAACGAGUUAAAUCUCUGCAAGAACUGCAAAAUGUUCCACAACAACAACAAAGCUACAGGAAAAAAAAACAGGAUUCCAGCAUCUCCAGGAGAUUUCACAUCAAAUUUAAAAAUUGCACCUUGAACAAUAAUAUAAAGCCUUCAGAUUUCCUUAAAACACCAUGCUAGACACAGACUCAAAAAGUUUUCUACUUGUUUGCUCUGCAAUGAACCCCUCAUGCUCUGAUCACCUGAUAUCCUUGUCAAAGGCAACCACACUGAGGCCUUUUGUAGGCACACCUCUCAGUGGCUCCUGAAGAGCGUCUGGCACGUAAGUGAUUCACAAGGAAUUCCAACAUCAGAGUUCUGUACACAGGGGCCUGCUGCCAGGGCACUAGGAAGAAGUGAGCAGGCUUUGAGCAAUCUGCUAAGGCCAAAACACACACACACACACAGACACACACACACAAUGCUGGGCGCACACGCAAACACACACACACACACACACACACACACACUAUGCUGGGCAGCAGCUGCAGACCAACAACACACCAGGACACCUCUGUCACUGUCACUGCCUGCCUCAGAACCAUUCCUAUGGCUCUUUCUCUCAGAUGUAUGCUACGUGCUGGCAGCACUUCAGACAGAGGAAGAUUUGACAAACAGCUCACAGGGUCAGAAAGGCAGGCCAGAUCUUCAGGCUUCUUAGCUCUAGGAACUGCAACUUGAGAUAUGGGAGUAAAUCAGUUACAGUGAGUGCGUGCUGCCUGUGAGCAGCUGAUCCAGAUAAAGAGAACCACAGACUUUCCCUCUUCAGUUUUGGAAUAAAAAUUAUCCAGCUACCAUUAUU